CUACACGAAGUAACCUUACUUGGUUUGACAUAUAGUUGUAGGACUAGAAAGGGACCGACCCGUUCGGGGAGCCUAUACAGGUUGUUGCAUGGCUGUCGUCAGCUCGUGUCGUGAGAUGUUCGGUUUAAGUCCGCUAACGAGCGCAACCCUCGUCGUAUGUUAUAUGUGUCAUACGAGACUGCCGGUAAAAAGCCGGAGGAAGGUGAGGAUGAUGUCAAGUCAGCAUGACCUUUAUAUCCAGGGCUACACACACGCUACAAUGGUCUGUACAAUGGGUAGCCAAGCCGCGAGGCGGAGCCAAUCCUGAAAGCAGGCCUCAGUUCAGAUUGCAGUCUGCAACUCGACUGCAUGAAGCCGGAGUUGCUAGUAACCGCAGGUCAGCAAUACUGCGGUGAAUACGUUCCCGGGUCUU
Molecule: ribosomal RNA, 412 nt
Filed under: uncultured Anaerolineaceae bacterium
Lineage: Bacteria; Bacillati; Chloroflexota; Anaerolineae; Anaerolineales; Anaerolineaceae
Description: bacterial SSU rRNA
Rfam family: Bacterial small subunit ribosomal RNA
Source: RNAcentral